ACAAACCAAACACUGGCACUAAAGUAGAGGGUCAUUCACGUUUUUCACGAGUUUCGCUGCCACUGUAGUUUCUCCUACACGCUUGGAAGGGGAGGGUGAGGCGAGUGGUAUUCAAAUGGUUGCAAUCUGUAAUAUCACUUUUAGAUUCUACUAAAGCCUUCGCUGAACCUUCAAGUGUUGUUCUUUGUAUAUAACAUGCAGAUCGCAUACCUUGGCUUAAGCACCAAUUUUUAAACUUGCUCUUAUUUUCCCACUUGAAAUACUGGUGUUAUGGAUACUGAGGCAAAAUCUCUCUCUCUCUAAAAACUCCCAAAAGUUAACACUUCUUACUGCCUUAAGGCCCAAUGUGAUACUGUCUAGCACAGCUUUGAACAGUCUUACAGUCUCAGGCUUUAGAAUCAAACAAGAUCUGGUACAGUGAUUCUUCAGACCCGAUCAUGAUCUGGUACUGUCAUGGUUUUGGGUCUUGGGUUUUGUUAUUUUCUGUUUUAUUCUGUAGUGCGCUGCCUCAUGUGUCUUGUGUAGUUUUACUUCCCAUCUUUGUUUGCUUUUCCCACCACAUUUGAUUAUCUGCGUCGCCCUGAUUUAGUAUCACCUGUGUCUCGUUUACUCCCCUCACCUGAGUGUAUUUAAGUCUGUGUACUUCCUUUGUUCUGUGUCAGUUCGUCUUGGUUCAUGUGCCUUGCGUUCCAGCCAUCUUUCCUUGUGCUUGCCUGUAUUUGGACAUGGGAUUUUCUGCCUGCUCCUAUUGGAUUUGUUUGCCUGUGUUUGGACUGCCGGUUGGUUUUGAUCCCUGCCUGCCUGACCACCCCUCAGUUCAGUUCAACUUCCACACAACCACGAUAUGCUGUAGACGAUGAGGGAGCGCAUACAGCACAAGAUGAACGUGAUGAGACACCCUGCUGCCUCCCCAUCAUGCCAUUGCGCCUACAAAAGGUUUAGACCUCAAAUACACACACAAACAAAACGGUAUCAUCGUAACUUCUUCCACACACACCCAGAGGCGGAAAAAAAAGCACAAAGCGUAUGCUCACUACAGAGCAAUGAGUGCAGCAGGAGGAACCAAACAUCAGAGGGCCUGUUAACGCGCCGAGGAGCAUUUUGUCUCCUCAAACAACUUGGAGAAUACCAGACAAAAUGACUCAGACUCUACUCCGAAGCAGCUGGAGAAAAGCGACGCUCAGCACAGCCAUCACUUUAGAGGGAAUUUUAUAUCAGACAAACCUAAUCAAAUGCUCUGCCCUUGUUUCAAAAUUUCAAACUAGAUGGCAAAUCAUUCUGAUGAGACUGGAUCUGAGUGAGAGCAAGGGAACGAAAUAGAAAAUAAAGACAAAGAGUA
Molecule: long non-coding RNA, 1339 nt
Organism: Siniperca chuatsi (mandarin fish)
Lineage: Eukaryota; Metazoa; Chordata; Actinopteri; Centrarchiformes; Sinipercidae
Exons: 3
Source: RefSeq, a predicted model, not a curated record